Molecule: ribosomal RNA, 274 nt
Filed under: uncultured bacterium
Lineage: Bacteria
Description: partial 16S ribosomal RNA
Rfam family: Bacterial small subunit ribosomal RNA
Source: RNAcentral
AUACGGGGGGGGCGAGCGUUGUCCGGAAUUAUUGGGCGUAAAGGGCGCGUAGGCGGAAUGAUAAGUCAGAGGUGAAAACUCAGGGCUCAACCCUGAGCCUGCCUUUGAUACUGUCAUUCUUGAGUGCGCGAGAGGAAAGCGGAAUUCCCGGUGUAGCGGUGAAAUGCGUAGAUAUCGGGAAGAACACCGGUAGCGAAGGCGGCUUUCUGGCUCGCAACUGACGCUGAGGCGCGAAAGCGUGGGGAGCAAACAGUAUUAGAAACCCCAGUAGUCC